GAUGAACGCUGGCGGCGUGCCUAAUACAUGCAAGUCGAGCGAACGGACGAGAAGCUUGCUUUUCUGAUGUUAGCGGCGGACGGGUGAGUAACACGUGGAUAACCUACCUAUAAGACUGGGAUAACUUCGGGAAACCGGAGCUAAUGCCGGAUAAUAUUUUGAACCGCAUGGUUCAAAAGUGAAAGACGGUCUUGCUGUCACUUAUAGAUGGAUCCGCGCUGCAUUAGCUAGUUGGUAAGGUAACGGCUUACCAAGGCAACGAUGCAUAGCCGACCUGAGAGGGUGAUCGGCCACACUGGAACUGAGACACGGUCCAGACUCCUACGGGAGGCAGCAGUAGGGAAUCUUCCGCAAUGGGCGAAAGCCUGACGGAGCAACGCCGCGUGAGUGAUGAAGGUCUUCGGAUCGUAAAACUCUGUUAUUAGGGAAGAACAUAUGUGUAAGUAACUGUGCACAUCUUGACGGUACCUAAUCAGAAAGCCACAGCUAACUACGUG
This 497-nucleotide ribosomal RNA is filed under the name uncultured bacterium. RNAcentral describes it as "partial 16S ribosomal RNA". It matches the Rfam family "Bacterial small subunit ribosomal RNA", at positions 28 to 507 of the family's 1533-position model. The record is from RNAcentral.